This 301-nucleotide ribosomal RNA is filed under the name uncultured bacterium. RNAcentral's name for it is "partial 16S ribosomal RNA". It matches the Rfam family "Bacterial small subunit ribosomal RNA", at positions 509 to 807 of the family's 1533-position model. The record is from RNAcentral.
CAGCCGCCGCGGGAAUACGUAGGGUGCGAGCGUUGUCCGGAAUUACUGGGCGUAAAGAGCUCGUAGGCGGUUUGUCGCGUCGUCUGUGAAAUUCUGCAGCUUAACUGUAGGCGUGCAGGCGAUACGGGCAGACUUGAGUACUACAGGGGAGACUGGAAUUCCUGGUGUAGCGGUGAAAUGCGCAGAUAUCAGGAGGAACACCGGUGGCGAAGGCGGGUCUCUGGGUAGUAACUGACGCUGAGGAGCGAAAGCGUGGGUAGCGAACAGGAUUAGAUACCCGCGUAGUCCCUGUCUCUUAUAC